GACGAACGCUGGCGGCGUGCCUAAUACAUGCAAGUAGGACGCAGUUGCGAACGGGUGAGUAACGCGUAGGUAACUACCUAUUAGAGGGGGAUAACUAUUGGAAACGAUAGCUCAUACCGCAUACUAGUAGAUUGACCUGCGUUGUAUUAGCUAGUAGGUGGGGUAAUGGCCUACCGAGGAAAUGAUACAUAGCCGACCUUAGAGGGUGAUCGGCCAAACUGGGACUGAGGCACGGCCUAGACUCCUACGGGUGGGCGGAGUAGGGAAUCUUCGGCAAUGGGGGGAACCCUGACCGAGCAACGCCGCGUGAGUGAAGAAGGUUUUCGGAUCGUAAAGCUCUGUUGUUAAGGAAGCGGUACUUAACCAGAAAGGGACGGCUAACUACGUGCCAGCAGCCGCGGUAAUUC
Molecule: ribosomal RNA, 407 nt
Filed under: uncultured bacterium
Lineage: Bacteria
Description: partial 16S ribosomal RNA
Rfam family: Bacterial small subunit ribosomal RNA
Source: RNAcentral